UGGGCCAUCGCCAAGCGGUAAGGCACAGCACUUUGACUGCUGCAUGCGCAGGUUCAAAUCCUGCUGGCCCAG
RNAcentral lists this transfer RNA (72 nucleotides) under Lachnoclostridium sp. Its description in RNAcentral is "tRNA-Gln". It matches the Rfam family "tRNA". From Rfam's summary of the family: Transfer RNA (tRNA) molecules are approximately 80 nucleotides in length. Their secondary structure includes four short double-helical elements and three loops (D, anti-codon, and T loops). Further hydrogen bonds mediate the characteristic L-shaped molecular structure. tRNAs have two regions of fundamental functional importance: the anti-codon, which is responsible for specific mRNA codon recognition, and the 3' end, to which the tRNAs corresponding amino acid is attached (by aminoacyl-tRNA synthetases). tRNAs cope with the degeneracy of the genetic code in two manners: having more than one tRNA (with a specific anti-codon) for a particular amino acid; and 'wobble' base-pairing, i.e. permitting non-standard base-pairing at the 3rd anti-codon position. The record is from RNAcentral. Lineage: Bacteria; Bacillati; Bacillota; Clostridia; Lachnospirales; Lachnospiraceae.